UCUUCUUCUCUCUCGUACCGAGACCAGUCGCACCGAGGAGCAGCUCCGCUCAUUUUGUCCACUUUCACCUCUGGCAACGGCAAUCGCUUAACGAAACAAAGAGCAGGAGCUCCUAGAUACUUACAAAACCAGUGGGAUUAUAUUUUCUUUUAGAUAAAACAGGCAUUUUUCAAUAUUUUUACGACUUCCUCAACGCUACGCGAGGAGGCCUGCCAAACAAGAUAAGCCUGAGCCUGUGCUACAGUGCUAAAGGUAAUUAGCAGAAGAUGCCUCCCUUCUCUACGGAAGAUUACCACAAACUCGUACAGAAGAUUUUACUGCUGGAAACAAAAGUUAAUCGGUUAGAGGUAAAUGUAGAAGUAAAUGGACCAUGUGGGAACAACACCACUCUAGCAAUGACUCAAAACAGUGGACAAGAGCAUGCUAGAACCCAGCUAACUAGCAAUGAUGGAACUAUGAAGAAACUGGAGGACUCUGUACAGGGUAAUAAAUCUACCAGCGACAAUCCUCCCUGGACCACACUUGGUGCAAAGCCAAAGAGAAGACCAGACAAGGGAGAACGGAUAACUGGCAGGACCCAGCGGCCCGAUAUCUGUGAUCUGGCCGACUGGCCUGCGUUACCAUCCAGGCAUAACGCCUCCUCAACCCCCGUUCUUCGUAGAACAAAGCAGCGGACAACUGAGAAGAGGGGAACUACCAAGGAACCUCCCCAGCAAACAGGUGUAAAUCUACAAAACAGGUUUGCUCCACUGUUGCAGGACCAUGGAUCCCCCUCUAAAUUUCUGGAUAACCCUCCACCACCACGCAGCAGGGUAAGACCUGCUAACUUAAAGCCACAGAGAAAGCUAACGACAGGGCCUGAAAAUCUGAUUGUGGGUGAUUUUUCUGUAAAAGAUAUGAAAAGUAGUAACGACACCAAAGUACUCUGCUUCCCGGAGGAUAUGGUGUCUGACUUGGAAGAAAGAAUUUUGGAAAUUGUGGCUGAACACCCAACUGUGAAAAACUUAAUUCUGCACAUUGGCUCUAAUGACAUUGAAAAACAACAAUCAGAAAAGUUGAAAGAGCACUUAAUCUCCUAGAAACAGUCAGCUCUGUGAAUGCUGAGGUGUUUAUCAGUGGUCCUCUGCCCCCGACCGGGAGAGGAGCUGAGAGAUUCAGUAGACUGUUUUGGCUCAACAAAUGGCUCUUAACUGCAUGUGCAGUUCGUUCAAUGCAUUCUAUCAACAAUUUUAGCUUUUUCUGGGACCGCAGGCAUCUUUUUAAGACAAAUGGACUUUGCCUGAAUGAGAUGGGAGCAAAGCUUGUCAUUACCAACAUGUUUUACAUCAUGCGUCAUCCAUCUGUCCCCACUGCCAAGGACACGAGACCAGAAGAGGAGCCCACAAAGAAGGAAGAGAAAACACAGCUUAUCAGAAACGGCGAAGGAGGACCGCCAUUGCCAUCCCCCUCUAACCCUCCUUCCAUUACGUUAUGAGCCACGGGUCACAAGGGAGAAUUCACGGGGAAAUUUAGCCGCCGCCUGGGGGAGUUUCCAUUGCAUCGGAGGCGGAGUAAACCUGAAGGGUCUGAUUUGCAAGUGAGGGCUUGUAGUCUCGAUCAGUACAAGUAGGCUGUACAAAGUCUUUGUACAGUUGUGUAGACUUUGUUUACAGCUUUGCUCCGGCUUUCUUUCUCUACAGCAACACAGGCUAUGAGCCGGCCUGUGACAUCAUAUUCAUCUGAUCACUAUGACGUUUCUGGAGCUGAGGGACUCCAACAGUCGCUUCAGGUUUUCUCAGUCCUGCGUGGGUUUGGCCGGUUGCCUGUGUGUCUGCUACGCGGUCUGGACACUCAUUCUGGCUGAAGGACCGGGGUCUCUGGACAGCGGGGAAUAACACCAAAAGUGACCAGACAAGCAGUAGAGAUGGUAUUCUCUUCAACGUGCUGGAAGCAGAGAGAGUAUUUGGAGUUCUUUCCUUCCUCAUGGCGUCAGUACUGGUGCUUUGUGUCUGGUGUUCGCCCUCUGCUGGAGAUCUGAGACGGUGCACUCCUACUCCAACACGCGCUCCCUCCUCAUGGCAGAACAGGCCCUCUACCCCUCAACGCUCCUGUUGCUCACAUUGGCCUCCACAGGAUUCUGUUUCCUCCUCAGCUGGUCUCUCUUUACCCAUCAGCACCGGGAAGAAAGACUUUUCCAGCCUCGGCUCCUCCUAUUGGCUCGGAGCUUUAGGCUGGGUCCUGCUGUUAGUCCUGGAGACGAUAAUCUUUGUAGCCGAGCAAGCUGUCGUGCCUGACAUCCUGCCGGACUUGGAGAGGGCCGUGGAGUCCGUUCGGAUUUCCCAUCCAACGAAGGCCGCACUACGCUCCUGCAGCGAUGGCUAUUACCCUUGUAACAGCAAAAGAAACAUGGCUCCCAAGAGCCUCGGUUAGAGUGCAAGGACGUGACUGGGGAAACGGUUGGGAAUGUGUUAGCAACACAUUAAAGCACACAGACUCAAUGAGGGAAACCAGCAAUUACUCGCCGCUCCGUACAAGCAGAGUGAAUAUGGAUGAACUGUGGACAGAGUUACGUUUUCGCCAGAGGAAUCACGUCUUCAGUGGGACUGAAGCGUCCAGUGUCCGAAAGAGCCGGUGGUCAUUCUCCAGUUUGUCACCGGUACCGACCGACUUUUACGUCAAACAUACUAAAAACACUAAGGAUGAAAUGCUCGAGGGCAACUGUUUUCUAAUAAAGUCAAUGUGAUUGAUUUCUUGAAGCUUUCUCAGAGUUUCGGAUCCAGUUGUGGAGGCUUUUCAGUUGAAUCAUGGUAAAACACACUCACUAAAAUGCCAACUCAUACUAAAUUUCAGCGGUUGCUGUAAUAUAGUUGUUGAAUGUUAAAACAGAGCCGUAUUGUGGACAUUGAAAUUAUCGUGAGUUGCACAUUGGGGGAAAAAAAGCAUUGCGUGGCCGUACCAGUCAAUCAAUCAAUGAUCCUCUUUUAUUACCACUUUGUUGUCAUAUGACACAAUAUAGCAAGCUCAACAAGUCUUUGAGCAAGACAAGACUUUGACUGCGCUGGCCGUGCGCUUUCUACACCGUUUCACAGCUAAAGUCAAAAGGUCCGUCUGCCCAUGAGGUGGUAUCAGAGAGCAGGAGUAACGGGUGCUCAGUCUGAGCGUGAUGUUUAACCGCGUACCUGCCAGCAGGAGGUGCACAUGCAGUGCGUGUGCGUUUCCGCCGUGCAGUCCCCAGCUCUGCUCCUUGUUUUGACCAGCCGACGGCCUCCAGAGCCGUUAUUUACUUUUCCUGUCACACCUUCCCUGGAGGAGAGGAAGCACUCCGAUGCUGGACUGCUUGUGUUGAUGUUCUUAACCUGCGAAAGUGGGGGAGAAUUAAGCGGCUCUGGUCCGUUAAUUGGGCGUUAAUCAGGUGUUGCUCUAAUUAAAAGGCAGUUCCGCCGAGCUGGGCCUUGGUAAUGAGUUUGUCAUUAAAUCCACGGUGGAUUUUUGCCUCUUUUUUUAAUUUACAGACAGGAUAGUGCUUAAUUGCGGUGUAAAUGAGGGGAAUGUCCUUGAAGGUCGCCUUGCCUCAGCGCAUCCAUGUGGAGAAUUGUUCCAAAGAGCUUCCCCCACCCAAACCUACAACAACUUACUACAAAUUCAUUCAAUUCACUGUGUUGACCUCCCGUUUCCAGCUGCGCCUCUCAGUGGCAACUUCACUAAAAAGGAGCUCCACCAUUUGCUAAAUUGAGGGAGCAGUCACACUCCUUACUUUUCAAAAUGUAAUUUGUAAUGAGUAAUUUCUGAAUUGAUUUCCCUUCCCCCGGUAGCGACUGUCUCGGCUAAAACAAGCAUACGUUCUU
Gasterosteus aculeatus aculeatus (three-spined stickleback) is the source of this 3824-nucleotide non-coding RNA. NCBI's taxonomy places the organism in Eukaryota, Metazoa, Chordata, Actinopteri, Perciformes, Gasterosteidae. The record is from RefSeq and is a predicted model, not a curated record.